AAGCGGAGGAAAAGAAACUAACAAGGAUUCCCCUAGUAACUGCGAGUGAAGCGGGAAAAGCUCAAAUUUAAAAUCUGAUAGUCUUUGGCUGUCCGAGUUGUAAUCUAGAGAAGUGCUAUCCGCGCUGGACCGUGUACAAGUCUCCUGGAAUGGAGCGUCAUAGAGGGUGAGAAUCCCGUCUUUGACACGGACUGCCAGGGCUUUGUGAUGUGCUCUCAAAGAGUCGAGUUGUUUGGGAAUGCAGCUCAAAAUGGGUGGUAAAUUCCAUCUAAAGCUAAAUAUUGGCGAGAGACCGAUAGCGAACAAGUACCGUGAGGGAAAGAUGAAAAGAACUUUGGAAAGAGAGUUAAACAGUACGUGAAAUUGCUGAAAGGGAAACGCUUGAAGUCAGUCGCGUUGUCCAGGGAUCAACCUUGCUUUUGCUUGGUGCACUUUCUGGUUGACGGGUCAGCAUCAAUUUUGACUAUUGGAAAAAGAUUAGGGGAAUGUGACAUCUUCGGAUGUGUUAUAGCCCUUGGUUGCAUACAAUGGUUGGGAUUGAGGAACUCAGCACGCCGCAAGGCCGGGUUUUUAACCACGUACGUGCUUAGGAUGCUGGCAUAAUGGCUUUAAUCGACCCGUCUUGAAACACGGACCAAGGAGUCUAACAUGCCUGCGAGUGUUUGGGUGGAAAACCCGAGCGCGUAAUGAAAGUGAAAGUUGAGAUCCCUGUCGUGGGGAGCAUCGACGCCCGGACCAGACCUUUUGUGACGGUUCCGCGGUAGAGCAUGUAUGUUGGGACCCGAAAGAUGGUGAACUAUGCCUGAAUAGGGUGAAGCCAGGGGAAACCCUGGUGGAGGCUCGUAGCGAUUCUGACGUGCAAAUCGAUCGUCAAAUUUGGGUAUAGGGGCGAAAGACUAAUCGAAUCAUCUAGUAGCUGG
This 920-nucleotide ribosomal RNA is filed under the name Cortinarius sp. PDD 112723. RNAcentral describes it as "partial large subunit ribosomal RNA". It matches the Rfam family "Eukaryotic large subunit ribosomal RNA", at positions 48 to 954 of the family's 3401-position model. Lineage: Eukaryota; Fungi; Basidiomycota; Agaricomycetes; Agaricales; Cortinariaceae. The record is from RNAcentral.